RNAcentral lists this ribosomal RNA (256 nucleotides) under Streptomyces sp. ISO634_OTU420. RNAcentral describes it as "partial 16S ribosomal RNA". It matches the Rfam family "Bacterial small subunit ribosomal RNA", at positions 29 to 289 of the family's 1533-position model. Lineage: Bacteria; Bacillati; Actinomycetota; Actinomycetes; Kitasatosporales; Streptomycetaceae. The record is from RNAcentral.
ACGAACGCUGGCGGCGUGCUUAACACAUGCAAGUCGAACGAUGAAGCCCUUCGGGGUGGAUUAGUGGCGAACGGGUGAGUAACACGUGGGCAAUCUGCCCUUCACUCUGGGACAAGCCCUGGAAACGGGGUCUAAUACCGGAUAAUACUCCUGCCUGCAUGGGUGGGGGUUAAAAGCUCCGGCGGUGAAGGAUGAGCCCGCGGCCUAUCAGCUUGUUGGUGGGGUAAUGGCCCACCAAGGCGACGACGGGUAGCCG